GGGCGUGUAGCUCAGCUGGUUAGAGCGUUUCGUUGACAUCGAAAAGGUCCCCCGUUCGAGUCGGGGCACGCCCA
RNAcentral lists this transfer RNA (74 nucleotides) under Patescibacteria group bacterium. Its description in RNAcentral is "tRNA-Val". It matches the Rfam family "tRNA". Rfam says of the family: Transfer RNA (tRNA) molecules are approximately 80 nucleotides in length. Their secondary structure includes four short double-helical elements and three loops (D, anti-codon, and T loops). Further hydrogen bonds mediate the characteristic L-shaped molecular structure. tRNAs have two regions of fundamental functional importance: the anti-codon, which is responsible for specific mRNA codon recognition, and the 3' end, to which the tRNAs corresponding amino acid is attached (by aminoacyl-tRNA synthetases). tRNAs cope with the degeneracy of the genetic code in two manners: having more than one tRNA (with a specific anti-codon) for a particular amino acid; and 'wobble' base-pairing, i.e. permitting non-standard base-pairing at the 3rd anti-codon position. RNAcentral also lists the same sequence under 1 other name. The record is from RNAcentral.